CCUACGGGAGGCAGCAGUGAGGAAUAUUGGUCAAUGGACGAGAGUCUGAACCAGCCAAGUAGCGUGAAGGAUGACUGCCCUAUGGGUUGUAAACUUCUUUUAUAUGGGAAUAAACUGUUCCACGUGUGGGCUUUUGUAUGUACCAUAUGAAUAAGGAUCGGCUAACUCCGUGCCAGCAGCCGCGGUAAUACGGAGGAUCCGAGCGUUAUCCGGAUUUAUUGGGUUUAAAGGGUGCGUAGGCGGAAGGUUAAGUCAGCGGUCAAAUGUCGGUGCUCAACACCGGCCUGCCGUUGAAACUGGUCGUCUUGAGUGAGCGAGAAGUAUGCGGAAUGCGUGGUGUAGCGGUGAAAUGCAUAGAUAUCACGCAGAACUCCGAUUGCGAAGGCAGCAUACCGGCGCUCAACUGACGCUGAGGCACGAAAGCGUGGGGAUCGAACAGGAUUAGAUACCCCAGUAGUC
RNAcentral lists this ribosomal RNA (459 nucleotides) under uncultured bacterium. RNAcentral's name for it is "partial 16S ribosomal RNA". It matches the Rfam family "Bacterial small subunit ribosomal RNA", at positions 338 to 795 of the family's 1533-position model. The record is from RNAcentral.